AUUGAACGCUGGCGGCAUGCCUAACACAUGCCAGUCGAGCGGAUGAAGGGAGCUUGCUCCUGGAUUCAGCGGCGGACGGGUGAGUAAUGCCUAGGAAUCUGCCUGGUAGUGGGGUAUAACGUCCGGAAACGGGCGCUAAUACCGCAUACGUCCUGAGGGAGAGAGUGGGGGAUCUUCGGACCUCACGCUAUCAGAUGAGCCUAGGUCGGAUUAGCUAGUUGGUGGGGUAAAGGCCUACCAAGGCGACGAUCCGUAACUGGUCUGAGAGGAUGAUCAGUCACACUGGAACUGAGACACGGUCCAGACUCCUACGGGAGGCAGCAGUGGGGAAUAUUGGACAAUGGGCGAAAGCCUGAUCCAGCCAUGCCGCGUGUGUGAAGAAGGUCUUCGGAUUGUAAAGCACUUUUAGUUGGGAGGAAGGGCAGUAAGUUAAUACCUUGCUGUUUUGACGUUACCAACAGAAUAAGCACCGGCUAACUUCGUG
Molecule: ribosomal RNA, 484 nt
Filed under: uncultured bacterium
Lineage: Bacteria
Description: partial 16S ribosomal RNA
Rfam family: Bacterial small subunit ribosomal RNA
Source: RNAcentral